UCUGACGGAGCACGCCGCGUGAACGAUGAAGGCCUUCGGGUCGUAAAGUUCUGUUGUUAGGGAAGAACAAGUACCAGAGUAACUGCUGGUACCUUGACGGUACCUAACCAGAAAGCCACGGCUAACUACGUGCCAGCAGCCGCGGUAAUA
This 150-nucleotide ribosomal RNA is filed under the name uncultured Bacillus sp. Its description in RNAcentral is "partial 16S ribosomal RNA". It matches the Rfam family "Bacterial small subunit ribosomal RNA", at positions 382 to 525 of the family's 1533-position model. Lineage: Bacteria; Bacillati; Bacillota; Bacilli; Caryophanales; Bacillaceae. The record is from RNAcentral.